Molecule: ribosomal RNA, 397 nt
Filed under: uncultured bacterium
Lineage: Bacteria
Description: bacterial SSU rRNA
Rfam family: Bacterial small subunit ribosomal RNA
Source: RNAcentral
GGAAUAUUGGACAAUGGGGGAAACCCUGAUCCAGCAAUGCCGCGUGAGUGAAGAAGGCCUUAGGGUUGUAAAACUCUUUCAGUGGGGAAGAUAAUGACGGUACCCACAGAAGAAGCCACGGCUAACUUCGUGCCAGCAGCCGCGGUAAUACGAAGGUGGCGAGCGUUGUUCGGAUUUACUGGGCGUAAAGAGCACGUAGGCGGUUGGGUAAGCCUCUUGGGAAAUCUCCCGGCUUAACCGGGAAAGGUCGAGGGGAACUACUCAGCUAGAGGACGGGAGAGGAGCGCGGAAUUCCCGGUGUAGCGGUGAAAUGCGUAGAUAUCGGGAAGAAGGCCGGUGGCGAAGGCGGCGCUCUGGAACGUACCUGACGCUGAGGUGCGAAAGCGUGGGGAGCAAA